AAAUGAAUAGACGGGGGCCCGCACAAGCAGUGGAGUAUGUGGUUUAAUUCGAAGCAACGCGAAGAACCUUACCAGGGCUUGACAUCCCUCGAAGUUAGUAGAAAUACUAAUGUCCUACGGGACGAGGAGACAGGUGGUGCAUGGUUGUCGUCAGCUCGUGUCGUGAGAUGUUGGGUUAAGUCCCGCAACGAGCGCAACCCCUGUUGUUAGUUGCCAUCAUUAAGUUGGGCACUCUAGCGAGACUGCCGGUGACAAAUCGGAGGAAGGUGGGGACGACGUCAAAUCAUCAUGCCCCUUAUGUCCUGGGCUACACACGUACUACAAUGGCCGGUACAAAGGGAAGCUAAGCCGCAAGGUGGAGCGAAUCCCCAAAACCGGUCCCAGUUCGGAUUGUGGGCUGAAACUCGCCCACAUGAAGUAGGAAUUGCUAGUAAUGGCAGGUCAGCAUACUGCCGUGAAUACGUUCCCGGGCCUUGUACACACCGCCCGU
Molecule: ribosomal RNA, 490 nt
Filed under: uncultured bacterium
Lineage: Bacteria
Description: bacterial SSU rRNA
Rfam family: Bacterial small subunit ribosomal RNA
Source: RNAcentral